RNAcentral lists this microRNA precursor (81 nucleotides) under Vicugna pacos (alpaca). RNAcentral's name for it is "miRNA (ENSVPAG00000016576.1)". Lineage: Eukaryota; Metazoa; Chordata; Mammalia; Artiodactyla; Camelidae. The record is from RNAcentral.
ACACUGUGUAUAUAUGUAUACACACUCAAGAUGUAUAUAUAGUGUAGUGUGUGUACAUAUACAUACAUACGUUGUGUAUAU